RNAcentral lists this ribosomal RNA (494 nucleotides) under uncultured bacterium. RNAcentral describes it as "partial 16S ribosomal RNA". It matches the Rfam family "Bacterial small subunit ribosomal RNA", at positions 30 to 507 of the family's 1533-position model. The record is from RNAcentral.
AUUGAACGCUGGCGGCAUGCUUUACACAUGCAAGUCGAACGGCAGCGGGGAGGAGCUUGCUUCUCUGCCGGCGAGUGGCGAACGGGUGAGUAAUACAUCGGAACGUGUCGAGAAGAGGGGGAUAACCACCCGAAAGGGUGGCUAAUACCGCAUAAAUUCUGAGGAAGAAAGCUGGGGACCUAGGAAUAGGCCUAGCGCUUUUUGAGCGGCCGAUGUCGGAUUAGCUAGUUGGUGAGGUAAAGGCUCACCAAGGCGAAGAUCUGUAGCGGGUCUGAGAGGAUGAUCCGCCACACUGGGACUGAGACACGGCCCAGACUCCUACGGGAGGCAGCAGUGGGGAAUUUUGGACAAUGGGGGCAACCCUGAUCCAGCCAUGCCGCGUGUAUGAAGAAGGCCUUAGGGUUGUAAAGUACUUUUGUUAGGGAAGAAAAGUCAGCUGUGAAUAAUGGCUGAUACUGACGGUACCUAAAGAAUAAGCACCGUCUAACUACGUG